RNAcentral lists this unclassified non-coding RNA (246 nucleotides) under Hevea brasiliensis (rubber tree). Lineage: Eukaryota; Viridiplantae; Streptophyta; Magnoliopsida; Malpighiales; Euphorbiaceae. The record is from RNAcentral.
AUGGGAUCAAAGGGCACAGAAGAAUACUUCACUGUACAAUGGUAAAAAGUUCCGGUAUGGAGGGUAUAACAUCCAUAGUGGAGAUGGAUCACACCAAGAUUCUCAUGUAUGGCUUCACCUUGGUUUGACGGAUUAUAGGACUUUUGUUGGGACAAACUUAAGUCCUUUUUGGGAAAAGUUCCUUGUUCCAUCAGAAGAUGACCCUAUACAAUGUCAACAUACGUCAAGUCCACUGGGUAACGGCGC